Molecule: ribosomal RNA, 253 nt
Filed under: uncultured bacterium
Lineage: Bacteria
Description: partial 16S ribosomal RNA
Rfam family: Archaeal small subunit ribosomal RNA
Source: RNAcentral
UACCAGCACCCCGAGCGGUCGGGACGAUUAUUGGGCCUAAAGCAUCCGUAGCCGGUCCUGCAAGUCUUCCGUUAAAUCCAGCUGCUCAACAGAUGGGCUGCGGGGGAUACUACAGGGCUAGGAGGCGGGAGAGGCAAGCGGUACUUUAUGGGUAGGGGUAAAAUCCGUUGAUCCAUAGAAGACCACCAGUGGCGAAGGCGGCUUGCCAGAACGCGCUCGACGGUGAGGGAUGAAAGCUGGGGGAGCAAACCGG